Molecule: ribosomal RNA, 229 nt
Filed under: uncultured bacterium
Lineage: Bacteria
Description: partial 16S ribosomal RNA
Rfam family: Bacterial small subunit ribosomal RNA
Source: RNAcentral
UCCGUAGGCGGGCGUCUAAGUCAGUGGUGAAAUCUUACAGCUCAACUGUGAAAUUGCCAUUGAUACUGGAUGUCUUGAAUUAGUGUGAAGUGGUUAGAAUGUGUAGUGUAGCGGUGAAAUGCAUAGAUAUUACACAGAAUACCAAUUGCGAAGGCAGAUCACUAACACUAUAUUGACGCUGAGGGACGAAAGCGUGGGGAGCGAACAGGAUUAGAUACCCUGGUAGUCC